RNAcentral lists this ribosomal RNA (450 nucleotides) under uncultured bacterium. RNAcentral describes it as "partial 16S ribosomal RNA". It matches the Rfam family "Bacterial small subunit ribosomal RNA", at positions 354 to 796 of the family's 1533-position model. The record is from RNAcentral.
GUGGGGAAUAUUGGACAAUGGGCGAAAGCCUGAUCCAGCCAUGCCGCGUGUGUGAAGAAGGUCUUCGGAUUGUAAAGCACUUUAAGUUGGGAGGAAGGGCAGUAAGUUAAUACCUUGCUGUUUUGACGUUACCGACAGAAUAAGCACCGGCUAACUUCGUGCCAGCAGCCGCGAUAAUACGAAGGGUGCAAGCGUUAAUCGGAAUUACUGGGCGUAAAGCGCGCGUAGGUGGUUUUGUAAGUUGGAGGUGAAAUCCCCGGGCUCAACCUGGGAACUGCCUCCAAAACUGCAUGACUAGAGUACGGUAGAGGGUAGUGGAAUUUCCUGUGUAGCGGUGAAAUGCGUAGAUAUAGGAAGGAACACCAGUGGCGAAGGCGACUACCUGGACUGAUACUGACACUGAGGUGCGAAAGCGUGGGGAGCAAACAGGAUUAGAUACCCUUGUAGUCC